CGCAUUUCCAGUGCCCUGGCGCAAUUCCAGUGCCUUGACGCAUUUCUAGUGCCUUGACGCAAUUUUAGUGC
Molecule: non-coding RNA, 71 nt
Organism: Caenorhabditis elegans
Lineage: Eukaryota; Metazoa; Nematoda; Chromadorea; Rhabditida; Rhabditidae
Source: Ensembl